RNAcentral lists this transfer RNA (70 nucleotides) under Actinomycetota bacterium. RNAcentral describes it as "tRNA-Gly". The record is from RNAcentral. Lineage: Bacteria; Bacillati; Actinomycetota.
GGGCAGGUCAGUGACUUAGCCCGAUUCACCUUGCCAAGGUGGAGGUCGCCGGUUCGAGUCCGGUUGCCCG